RNAcentral lists this transfer-messenger RNA (386 nucleotides) under Helicobacter pylori. It matches the Rfam family "transfer-messenger RNA". From Rfam's summary of the family: Bacterial tmRNA, also known as 10Sa RNA or SsrA, is named for its dual tRNA and mRNA-like properties. RNAcentral also lists the same sequence under 1 other name. Lineage: Bacteria; Pseudomonadati; Campylobacterota; Epsilonproteobacteria; Campylobacterales; Helicobacteraceae. The record is from RNAcentral.
GGGGCUGACUUGGAUUUCGACAGAUUUCUUGUCGCACAGAUAGCAUGCCAAGUGCUGCUUGUAAAACAGCAACAAAAAUAACUGUAAACAACGCAGAUUACGCUCCAGCUUACGCUAAAGCUGCGUGAGUUAAUCUCCUUUUGGAGCUGGACUGAUUAGAAUUUCUAGCGUUUUAAUCACUCCAUAACCUUAAGCUAGACGCUUUUAAAAGGUGGUUCGCCUUUUAAACUAAGAAACAAGAACUCUUGAAACUACCUCAAGGUUUUAGAAAGUUGGACCAGAGCUAGUUUUAAGGCUAAAAAGCUAACCAAUUUUCUAAGCAUUGUAGAAGUUUGUGUUUAGGACAAGAUUUUUGGACUGGGGUUCGAUUCCCCACAGCUCCACCA